RNAcentral lists this ribosomal RNA (302 nucleotides) under uncultured bacterium. Its description in RNAcentral is "partial 16S ribosomal RNA". It matches the Rfam family "Bacterial small subunit ribosomal RNA", at positions 508 to 807 of the family's 1533-position model. The record is from RNAcentral.
GCAGUCGCCGCGGUAAUACGUAGGGUGCAAGCGUUAAUCGGAAUUACUGGGCGUAAAGCGUGCGCAGGCGGUUCGUUAAGACAGAUGUGAAAUCCCCGGGCUUAACCUGGGAACUGCAUUUGUGACUGGCGGGCUAGAGUAUGGCAGAGGGGGGUAGAAUUCCACGUGUAGCAGUGAAAUGCGUAGAGAUGUGGAGGAAUACCGAUGGCGAAGGCAGCCCCCUGGGCCAAUACUGACGCUCAUGCACGAAAGCGUGGGGAGCAAACAGGAUUAGAGACCCCUGUAGUCCCUGUCUCUUAUAC